This 86-nucleotide small RNA is filed under the name Klebsiella pneumoniae. Its description in RNAcentral is "partial RtT sRNA". It matches the Rfam family "RtT RNA", at positions 1 to 83 of the family's 130-position model. From Rfam's summary of the family: This family represents a bacterial cis-regulatory element known as RtT RNA. The exact function of RtT is unknown although it is thought that it may be involved in changing the cellular response in relation to amino acid starvation. RNAcentral also lists the same sequence under 1 other name. The record is from RNAcentral. Lineage: Bacteria; Pseudomonadati; Pseudomonadota; Gammaproteobacteria; Enterobacterales; Enterobacteriaceae.
UGCAUCUGAGGCCAGUGAGGAUGAGAACCUCCGGGGGCAGGAGGUUCGACUCGAGCGAAGCGAGAGAACGUUGCGUCAGCAACGGC